UACGUAGGGUGCGAGCGUUGUCCGGAAUUAUUGGGCGUAAAGGGCUCGUAGGCGGUUUGUCGCGUCGGGUGUGAAAACCCAGGGCUUAACCCUGGGCUGGCUUCCGAUACGGGCAGACUAGAGGGAUGCAGGGGAGAACGGAAUUCCUGGUGUAGCGGUGAAAUGCGCAGAUAUCAGGAGGAACACCGGUGGCGAAGGCGGUUCUCUGGGCAUUUCCUGACGCUGAGGAGCGAAAGUGUGGGGAGCGAACAGG
RNAcentral lists this ribosomal RNA (253 nucleotides) under uncultured bacterium. RNAcentral describes it as "partial 16S ribosomal RNA". It matches the Rfam family "Bacterial small subunit ribosomal RNA", at positions 524 to 776 of the family's 1533-position model. The record is from RNAcentral.